UGAUAUGCUUGUCUCAAAGACUAAGCCAUGCAAGUCUAAGUACAUGCCGAAUUAAGGUGAAACCGCGAAUGGCUCAUUAAAUCAGUUAUGGUUCCUUAGAUCGUACUUUUCUACUUGGAUAACUGUGGCAAUUCUAGAGCUAAUACAUGCAGCAGAGCUCCGACCUUCGGGGACGAGCGCUUUUAUUAGACCAAGACCAAUCGGACCUCGGUCCGUAUACCACGGCGACUCUGGAUAACUUUGGGCUGAUCGCACGAUCUAGCAUCGGCGAUAUUUCUUUCAAGUGUCUGCCUUAUCAACUGUCGAUGGUAGGUUAUGCGCCUACCAUGGUCGUAACGGGUAACGGGGAAUCAGGGUUCGAUUCCGGAGAGGGAGCCUGAGAAACGGCUACCACAUCCAAGGAAGGCAGCAGGCGCGCAAAUUACCCACUCCCGGCACGGGGAGGUAGUGACGAAAAAUAACAAUACGGGACUCUCUUGAGGCCCCGUAAUUGGAAUGAGUACAAUCUAAAUCCUUUAACGAGGAUCUAUUGGAGGGCAAGUCUGGUGCCAGCAGCCGCGGUAAUUCCAGCUCCAAUAGCGUAUAUUAAAGUUGUUGCGGUUAAAAAGCUCGUAGUUGGAUCUCAGUUACAGACAGGCGGUCCACCUUACGGUGGCUACUGCCUGGCCUGAACGUCCUGCCGGUUUUCUCUCGGUGCUCUUGAUUGAGUGUCUUGAGUGGCCGGCACGUUUACUUUGAAAAAAUUAGAGUGCUCAAAGCAGGCGUGACGCCUGAAUAAUGGUGCAUGGAAUAAUGGAAUAGGACCUCGGUUCUAUUGUGUUGGUUUUCGGAACACGAGGUAAUGAUUAAGAGGGACAGACGGGGGCAUUCGUAUUGCGACGCUAGAGGUGAAAUUCUUGGACCGUCGCAAGAC
RNAcentral lists this ribosomal RNA (913 nucleotides) under Austropurcellia acuta. RNAcentral's name for it is "SSU rRNA". It matches the Rfam family "Eukaryotic small subunit ribosomal RNA", at positions 24 to 936 of the family's 1831-position model. The record is from RNAcentral. Lineage: Eukaryota; Metazoa; Arthropoda; Arachnida; Opiliones; Pettalidae.